Molecule: long non-coding RNA, 552 nt
Filed under: Brassica napus (rape)
Lineage: Eukaryota; Viridiplantae; Streptophyta; Magnoliopsida; Brassicales; Brassicaceae
Description: long non-coding RNA (BNAP_LNC024271)
Source: RNAcentral
GGUGAGCUCGCGUCGCGUGCGUCCAAGCUUCUUCAAUCUUCGACGAGUCAAGCACAAAUCUUCGUUGUCUUGCUCUGAUCUUCUCUGUCCGUGUUCUGGUCCUCCGCCGUGCUCGGUCUUCACCGUGGCCUCAAGCUUCGCCGUCGUAGCUUCCAAUCCGGUCAUGGCCUUCUUCCCUGAAACCUCCAUAGGCGUGAGUCUUCAGUCUCGUCUCUGUCUUCCUCGUCGAGCUCUCCUCUGUGAUGGUCUGAAACCACACGUCGUCGUCAGCCCAGCCUUAGCCGUCGUCGGGUCGAGCUUCGCCGUCGUCGGGUCGAGCUUCGCCGUCGUCGUUGUGCUCCAGAUCCGGCGAGAAGAAGAUCGCAUACUCCAAUGGCUGGUUUUCAUAGUUUUGCACAUCUGGUCCUUCUUCUUUUAGCUAUUUACAUCCGGCCCUAAUACUAUUAGAUUUUCAGAAAGGUCCUCUUGAAUCAACCCUAAACUUUUGACUGCGCAUUCUAGACCCCCGUAAUUGCACAAUGGUCCCUCGCUGCGUGAUAGUUCUCAGUUCGG